This is a long non-coding RNA of Hipposideros armiger (great roundleaf bat), 1410 nucleotides long. RefSeq lists it as uncharacterized. The transcript has 6 exons. The record is from RefSeq and is a predicted model, not a curated record. NCBI's taxonomy places the organism in Eukaryota, Metazoa, Chordata, Mammalia, Chiroptera, Hipposideridae.
CACCACAGUAACCUGCUCUUGUCCUUGCAGAGCGGCGUCACCUCCAGUUGGCUGUGACGACACACAGCUGUCGGACUUCAGAGUGUGACGGAAAGAAGUGAUCUUUGGAGGUUUCGCUCAGCAGAGGAGGGAGUCCGGGUCACCGAUGCUGAGAGGUAAUGUCUGUGUCCAUGGCCACACCUGUGACAGCUCCUGAGAAGUCCUCACCCCAUAGACAGAGGGACAGCCGACUGCGACUUCACUGCGGCCUCUGACAGUCCAACUCAUCUGGGAAAGGAGAAAGCGUCCAGCCUCUCUGCUCUUAUUAAGCUAUAGCCCGGCUGUAGCCCCAGGAUUCAGAAAAAUCCCUCCUUUAAAUUGUGUAUGGAUCAAGUUCACGCUGUCACGAUAGAGACGAAAACCACAGGGGCUCAAGGUCCAGCCGUGACUCGGUCUCCACCCACAAGCAUCAUCGUUUCUUGCAUCCUGCUACUUGGGCAGGAGGUCAGCACGUGCAUGUGCCCUCCUCUCUCUGGUCACCUGCAGGACGGCCAGCUCAGGCCAGGCUCUGAGAGGCCCCGCUCCUAGGAGGACCAGCAUCCUCAGAACCCCCUGCUCAUGGGGUGAGCCCUGGAAUGGCCCUGCAGCUACAGAACAGAUCGUUUUCCGGGCCUCCAGCCAUAGGCGGGGAUGAUGCCAGGAAGCCGGGGUUUGGGGUAACCCCUCCCCUUGGCUCCAUGGGGAACAGAGUCCAGGACAGUGCCCCCUUCUGGGGUGGCAGCCUCAGUUCCUAUAUCUGUCUUUCCGGGCAAUCUGGAGAGAGCUCCCGAAAACAUUCCCCGCCUGCGAUCCUACUUGUCUCCAGGCUGACUCCUUGCUUCCCGCGAAGCCCAACCAGCAGGGAGGGGUCACAGGUGCGUGGAAGGCCUGACGGUACAGCCUGGGCAUCUACCUGGAAAACAAGAGGAAGGCUAACAGCUCCCAUGGAGGCUCCUGGAGGCAGAGGCCCCAGUGCAGCACCUCACAUCCCACGACGUCUCAUCCGCUGGAAGCCAUCACGAGCACAUGCUUCACAGGGGCGCCAGUGCAGUCCGCUCCCCUAAUGGAAGAGGACAAGGGCUCAGGGAAUGGACAGCUUCUGCCACCGCGAGGCUGUCGCUGUCACCGGGUGUCUCAUACAAACCGCGUUUCCGUGUUUCUGUUCGUGGACCUUUGGGAUGGACUCCCGGAAUGGGGUGAUUGGGCCAAAGGGCAAUUUUGUACCACCUAUACAGUGAUGAACCAGAAGCCGUCUCUGCCUGCCCAAAACUCAGGCCUUCGGACUCUGAACUUACACCACCAGCUGUCCUGAGUCUCCAGCUGCUGAGAAGAUGGCGGACAGUGGGACUUCUCAGGCUCCGUGACCACGUGAGUCAAUUCCUUAUGUUAAAC